Molecule: long non-coding RNA, 1558 nt
Organism: Apus apus (common swift)
Lineage: Eukaryota; Metazoa; Chordata; Aves; Apodiformes; Apodidae
Exons: 2
Source: RefSeq, a predicted model, not a curated record
AAAAGCUCCUUUGAAACAGUUUAUUGGUUUGGUGGUUUUUGUUUUGUUUUGUUUUUUUCUCUUUCCCAUACUUCAGUCAUCCAUUGUCCUGAUGUUUUGUUUUCUUUCUUUGCCCAGAAGUAAAGAACUCCGAAUUUCCUGCUUAUGCGUUAAGGUGUGGUUUGUUACUCUCUAUCACUAAGCUGAAAUGUCAUGUUGGCGUUUUCAGGCAGCUAAAUUUUACCAUUGGAAUUGUUUGGAAAAAAAAUAGAGAAAAGUUCUGUAACGGCUUGUCCAGUCUUCUUGCUGCUGCAGUAGUAUUUCCACUGUGAUUUUCUCCUGUGUUGUCAAAUGUUGAAUGACCUUAGUAAUUUUCCAUAUGCUAUGCUAGUGUAUUUAAGUAUCUUAAGUAAAAGAGAACACUCAUGCAAUUGUAUGAUGAGUCAAAUAAAGUUCUAAAUAUACUCUUGUCACUAAGGAAUAGAUUGAACUUGAUGAAAGGAAGACAGAUGACUAGGUAAUUUGAGAGGGUUCUUUUAAAGUUAUAAAAUAGUUUUAUAAUCUGUAGUUCUAUAAUCCAUAGUUCCAUAAUCUGUAUACUAAAAUUACACAUUGUAGAGCAGUUGUUCUUCACCCAUUUUAAGAAUAUGUAUCCCGCUUUUAAACUGCCACACUGUCAUAUAGACUAAAACAUGCAUGUUGUCAUAACUGUUGCAUUUGUUUUUUUCUUUAUAGCAAUAAAAGACUGCGUGUUAAUAGUACGUUCACAGAAGUUUACAUCAUGGAGUACUGUUUACACCAUGUAACAUUAAUAGUUUUAUUUAGCAGCUAAAAUAUACAGUAUAUUCUACCGGCUUUAAUCAUGUUUUUCUUUUCCAGAAAUGCAGGGAAAGUGAAUUUAUGGAAUAAAAAUAUUUGCAUCUGUCCAAGGAAGCAGAAUUUGGUCUCUUUUAAAAGUGCCAAGUUGUACAUAAUAUGCCAGUGAUACCGGUGUAUGACGAAGCCCUCACCGCAAAGAAUGUAGAUGUAAUAGAGUGUUCCAGUCAGUAAAGAAUCUGCAGUUGUAAGCCAUUCCAAUGCAAUCAGGAAGCGAAAAGAUGAAGCGUGGGUCUCUCUGUGGGCUAGAAGUGCCAAAGCCCGGUGCCGGUGUUCUGUGACCUUUGGUUUCUGUCAGGUGGUCUGGCAGGAGGCCUUCAGGCAAGGCUUGGCCUCGGCAGGAUGGCUGGCUUCUUGCUUGUGUCUGGAGAGAACCAGCUGCCCUCUCCAGGAGGAUGAGAUGGGAGAAGAGACGCUCUUGUGCUCCUGAGGGACAAUGCCACGUCCAAGGCCUGUCAGUUAAAGCUGUGGGGCAGUUCUGGCUCAAAUCAAGUGAUAUCUGUGUGCACUCUGGCUCAAGUGGGGCUUUUUUAGGAAUGGUACUUUGCUUACCUGCUGCCCUGAGGUCAGAUGAAAGGCCUGUUACCCAGAAGAGUUUUUAACUGUGCUACAUGAUCUGUGGAAAACAGGUUGAUUAUGUUGAGCUUUAGAAUCUGGGAUGAGGUCUACCCAUUAGAAAAAAAAAAAACAAAAAAAAACAAAA